CAUCAUUAAGCUUGUCGGAAAGAUGGGGGGAGUGGGAUAAUACUGAAAUCCAUUACUUGCAAAACCAUGUAGAGAACAAGAGACUUAAAAGGAGGCAACAGAUUCUUUUUGCGUGGAUGCAAUCGUGAGCUCCUCCCUGGGACUUUGUGUAACUCCCUUGAUCAAACCUCCAAGACUCUCCCAUGAAAUGUGGCUUCUGACCUGAUCAUCAAAGCUACCGCAGCUCACUGUUGGUCCGAUGGCAGCUGAAAGGGCAAAUGAGAAAGGCUGUAAAUCAAGGAUAUGACAAAUGGGUGCUGCAACUGUUCUGUCCUUGAUCGGGUGUCUGGUGCUCAAUAGAUGCCCAAAUACCGCAAGAAGGUGGUAAGUUGGUUGAAGCAUUUUAGGAAAAGUUACGGAUCUGACAAACAAAACAAUAAACUAAAUCAAACCAGGAAUUCUGUUUACUGAUUCUUUGGCUAACAAAGGCAUACCUCCAGGCCUCCAAGCUGUUUCAGAACAGGCAUCAGAUCUACCCCUCCGAUGCAGCAUCAGCAAGACCAAACAGAAACAGAGAGAGCUUUGAGUGCUCUUCUUCACCUUAGUCCUCUGCAGG
Long non-coding RNA from Falco peregrinus (peregrine falcon), 595 nucleotides. RefSeq lists it as uncharacterized. The record is from RefSeq and is a predicted model, not a curated record. NCBI's taxonomy places the organism in Eukaryota, Metazoa, Chordata, Aves, Falconiformes, Falconidae. The transcript is spliced from 6 exons.